RNAcentral lists this ribosomal RNA (253 nucleotides) under uncultured bacterium. Its description in RNAcentral is "partial 16S ribosomal RNA". It matches the Rfam family "Bacterial small subunit ribosomal RNA", at positions 524 to 776 of the family's 1533-position model. The record is from RNAcentral.
UACGGAGGGGGCGAGCGUUAUUCGGAAUUAUUGGGCGUAAAGGGCGCGUAGGCGGCUGUACAAGUCAAAGGUGAAAUCCCUCGGCUCAACUGAGGAACUGCCUUUGAAACUGUACGGCUUGAGUCCGGGAGGGGGUAGCGGAAUUCCCAAUGUAGCGGUGAAAUGCGUAGAUAUUGGGAGGAACACCAGUGGCGAAGGCGGCUACCUGGACCGGUACUGACGCUGAGGCGCGAAAGCGUGGGUAGCAAACAGG